Molecule: non-coding RNA, 333 nt
Filed under: Symbiodinium sp. CCMP2430
Lineage: Eukaryota; Dinophyceae; Suessiales; Symbiodiniaceae
Source: RNAcentral
UGAGUGAAAGAAGAGAAGGAAACAAAAAGAACGUAAUGAAUGAACAAUGAGUGAGAGAAGAGAGCGUUCAUUCCUUGUUCCUUUCUUCUUUGUUCCUUUUGUUUUCAAUUAAAUUACAAUGGAAUGAAAUGUAAGCGUGAAUUUAAUUGAAAAACAAAAGAGAACAAAGACAAAGGAACGUAAUGUGUGUUUUAUUUGUUUCUUUUGUUUUGGCUCUUUUCGUGCUUCCGUUCGCUUCUCUCUCUCACAUUACAAAAGAGCAAAACAAAAGGAAACAAAACACACAUUACACCAUUCAUCUCUCUCACUUGUUUCUUUUCCUUUCAUUUCAAU